UUAACAGGAACCAGUCGGGGGCAUCAGUAUUCAGUUGUCAGAAGGUGAAAUUCUUGGAUUUACUGAAGACUAACUACUGCGAAAGCAUUUGCCAAGGAUGUUUUCAUUAAUCAGUGAACGAAAGUUAGGGGAUCGAAGACGAUCAGAUACCGUCGUAGUCUUAACCGUAAACUAUGCCGACUAGGGAUCGGGCGAUGUUCUUUUUUCUGACUCGCUCGGCACCUUACGAGAAAUCAAAGUUUUUGGGUUCUGGGGGGAUUAUGGUCGCAAGGCUGAAACUUAAAGAAAUUGACGGAAGGUCACCACCAGGCGUGGAGCCUGCGACUUAAUUUGACUCAACACGGGGAAACUCACCAGGUCCAGAUGAAAUAAGGAUUGACAGAUUGAGAGCUCUUUCUUGAUUUUUCAGGUGGUGGUGCAUGGCCGUUCUUAGUUCGUGGGGUGACUUGUCUGCUUAAUUGCGAUAACGAGCGAGACCUUACUCUGCUAAAUAGCCAGGCUAACUUUGGUUGGUCGCCGGCUUCUUAGAGAGACUAUCAACUCAAGUUGAUGGAAGUUUGAGGCAAUAACAGGUCUGUGAUGCCCUUAGAUGUUCUGGGCCGCACGCGCGCUACACUGACAGAGCCAACGAGUUCUUUUCCUUGCUCGAAAGAAUUGGGUAAUCUUGUUAAACUCUGUCGUGCUGGGGAUAAAGCAUUGCAAUUAUUGCUUUUCAACGAGGAAUGCCUAGUAAGCGCGUGUCAUCAGCAUGCGUUGAUUACGUCCCUGACCUUUGCUCACGCCGCCCGUC
Molecule: ribosomal RNA, 790 nt
Filed under: uncultured fungus
Lineage: Eukaryota; Fungi
Description: SSU rRNA
Rfam family: Eukaryotic small subunit ribosomal RNA
Source: RNAcentral